This 62-nucleotide transfer RNA is filed under the name Theopompa sp. FY-2016a. RNAcentral describes it as "tRNA-Cys". The record is from RNAcentral. Lineage: Eukaryota; Metazoa; Arthropoda; Insecta; Mantodea; Gonypetidae.
GGUCUUAUAUUCAACAAUGAUAUUAAAAUGCAAUUUUAAAGGUGUAUGGAUUACUAAGACUU